This is a long non-coding RNA of Ceratosolen solmsi marchali, 134 nucleotides long. RefSeq lists it as uncharacterized. The record is from RefSeq and is a predicted model, not a curated record. The transcript has 2 exons. NCBI's taxonomy places the organism in Eukaryota, Metazoa, Arthropoda, Insecta, Hymenoptera, Agaonidae.
AAAAAAAAAAAACAACAACAAAAUAUUUAUCCUCUUCAAGUAAUGUAAUGUCGCGGACAACUCGUCUCACUUCGAAGACUAUAAAUAUAUACGAACACGUGCUGGCGGGGAAAAAAAAAAAAAAAAAAAAAAGA